GGUGAGUAAUGUCUGGGAAACUGCCUGAUGGAGGGGGAUAACUACUGGAAACGGUAGCUAAUACCGCAUAACGUCGCAAGACCAAAGAGGGGGACCUUCGGGCCUCUUGCCAUCGGAUGUGCCCAGAUGGGAUUAGCUAGUAGGUGGGGUAACGGCUCACCUAGGCGACGAUCCCUAGCUGGUCUGAGAGGAUGACCAGCCACACUGGAACUGAGACACGGUCCAGACUCCUACGGGAGGCAGCAGUGGGGAAUAUUGCACAAUGGGCGCAAGCCUGAUGCAGCCAUGCCGCGUGUAUGAAGAAGGCCUUCGGGUUGUAAAGUACUUUCAGCGGGGAGGAAGGGAGUAAAGUUAAUACCUUUGCUCAUUGACGUUACCCGCAGAAGAAGCACCGGCUAACUCCGUGCCAGCAGCCGCGGUAAUACGGAGGGUGCAAGCGUUAAUCGGAAUUACUGGGCGUAAAGCGCACGCAGGCGGUUUGUUAAGUCAGAUGUGAAAUCCCCGGGCUCAACCUGGGAACUGCAUCUGAUACUGGCAAGCUUGAGUCUCGUAGAGGGGGGUAGAAUUCCAGGUGUAGCGGUGAAAUGCGUAGAGAUCUGGAGGAAUACCGGUGGCGAAGGCGGCCCCCUGGACGAAGACUGACGCUCAGGUGCGAAAGCGUGGGGAGCAAACA
RNAcentral lists this ribosomal RNA (673 nucleotides) under Escherichia coli. Its description in RNAcentral is "bacterial SSU rRNA". It matches the Rfam family "Bacterial small subunit ribosomal RNA", at positions 105 to 774 of the family's 1533-position model. The record is from RNAcentral. Lineage: Bacteria; Pseudomonadati; Pseudomonadota; Gammaproteobacteria; Enterobacterales; Enterobacteriaceae.